RNAcentral lists this long non-coding RNA (676 nucleotides) under Sarcophilus harrisii (Tasmanian devil). RNAcentral's name for it is "lncRNA (ENSSHAG00000025909.1)". Lineage: Eukaryota; Metazoa; Chordata; Mammalia; Dasyuromorphia; Dasyuridae. The record is from RNAcentral.
AAACAACAUUCUAGCCAUGUAAUAUGCCCUGUAUUAUAGCUUCAGCCAAAGCUCUUUAACUGAACGAGCAAGUGUUAUUGAUUUCAUAAACAUGGAGGUUGCGCCCUUUACCUCCGGGCCAGAUCCGUUAGUGGAGUCUGGAAGCUCCAGGGAGAUGUUGUGAUAUGUAAACAUCAGUUUGUGGUUGGCUGUACCAGGGUACUCUAGAAUGUUUCCAAGAUGCUGAGGGCUGGAAAGAGAGGGCAGAAACAUCCAAAGCUUGUGCUUCUCAAAAGCAGAAAAGCAAGAUAUCAUAAACGAAGCAACAUGGGAUUUAUUUUGUGAUCUCUUUGGGUAAUUCUAUGCUACAGCUACAAAAGACCUCAGAAGUCUUGAUUUCCAAUCCCCGACUUCUACAAAUGAAGAAAUGAAAUCCAAGAAAUGUUAAGUGAUUUGCUCAGUUUCCUCAGACUGAAAUCCUGGCAAUUAUGAAAGACAGGUUUUGAACCCUCAUCUUUGAACUUCAGAAUGGGUGCUCUUUGACUUAUACCACCCUGUGCAGCAGCCACGACUGCCUAUAAGGGCACUAACAGGGACCUAGCUUAAUGAUUUUCCUUCUUGGGGCUAAUACCAACCUCUCACAUAGACAAUGAAGUUGCCAUUGGACCACCUUGCACUAAUAAAAUUCAUCAGAAAC